CUCCCUUGGUCUCUGACUCUGUGUGCAAAAGUCGGUCCCAUGGCUUUCCCAAGCCAGGUUGGUUUGCAAUUGCUUCUCUGCCCGCUUAAUUCCAACAUUGUCGCCGUACAGCAUGUUGUUCUGUGGGGACUGUUUUGCCUGUUUAUGCAACAUUUAAGGCCAUUGAGAAUAAGGAUCAAAUGGAGCAACAAAAAUGGCUUCUCUAUUGGGCAGCUUAUGGAACUUUCAGUGUCGCUGAAGUGUUUGCAGAUAAAAUUCUGUCCUGGUACAGUUUGUAGGCCCGNNNNNNNNNNNNNUUCUUGUUUGGCUACAGCUGCCAUCUGUCAAUGGAGCCAGGCAAUUGUAUAUGAACCAUCU
This 357-nucleotide unclassified non-coding RNA is filed under the name Hevea brasiliensis (rubber tree). The record is from RNAcentral. Lineage: Eukaryota; Viridiplantae; Streptophyta; Magnoliopsida; Malpighiales; Euphorbiaceae.